ACUCGGCCGUGAAACCCUUCUGCGCCAAUGGUACUAUCGCUCAAGCGAUGGAAGAGUAGGUCGCCGCCAGGC
Molecule: ribosomal RNA, 72 nt
Filed under: Sphingomonas palmae
Lineage: Bacteria; Pseudomonadati; Pseudomonadota; Alphaproteobacteria; Sphingomonadales; Sphingomonadaceae
Source: RNAcentral